AUACGGAGGGUGCAAGCGUUAAUCGGAAUUACUGGGCGUAAAGAGUACGUAGGUGGUUUGUUAAGUCAGAUGUGAAAGCCCCGGGCUCAACCUGGGAACUGCAUUUGAAACUGGCAAACUAGAGUAUGGUAGAGGGGGGUAGAAUUUCUAGUAUAGCGGUGAAAUGCGUAGAUAUUAGAAGGAAUACCAGUGGCGAAGGCGGCCCCCUGGACCAAUACUGACACUGAGGUACGAAAGCGUGGGUAGCGAACAGGAUUAGAUACCCCAGUAGUCC
This 274-nucleotide ribosomal RNA is filed under the name uncultured bacterium. Its description in RNAcentral is "partial 16S ribosomal RNA". It matches the Rfam family "Bacterial small subunit ribosomal RNA", at positions 523 to 796 of the family's 1533-position model. The record is from RNAcentral.